UACAGAGGUCUCAAGCGUUGUUCGGAUUCAUUGGGCGUAAAGGGUGCGUAGGUGGCGCCGUAAGUCAGGUGUGAAAUUUCGGAGCUUAACUCCGAAACUGCAUUUGAUACUGCGGUGCUUGAGGACUGGAGAGGAGACUGGAAUUUACGGUGUAGCAGUGAAAUGCGUAGAGAUCGUAAGGAAGACCAGUGGCGAAGGCGGGUCUCUGGACAGUUCCUGACACUGAGGCACGAAGGCCAGGGGAGCAAACAGG
This 253-nucleotide ribosomal RNA is filed under the name uncultured bacterium. RNAcentral describes it as "partial 16S ribosomal RNA". It matches the Rfam family "Bacterial small subunit ribosomal RNA", at positions 524 to 776 of the family's 1533-position model. The record is from RNAcentral.